Molecule: unclassified non-coding RNA, 237 nt
Filed under: Hevea brasiliensis (rubber tree)
Lineage: Eukaryota; Viridiplantae; Streptophyta; Magnoliopsida; Malpighiales; Euphorbiaceae
Source: RNAcentral
GGGAAUUCUUGAAGUCAUUGACAAUUGAAUGAAAGACCUAUACUAUAAAACGUGGGUCUUGCCCUUCCACUCUCAGUCCACUCACUAUCCAUGAAAAAUAACAUUGAUAAAGGUUGCGAUUUGCUAUACUCUCUAGAAUCAUCAUUAUAAAAUGAUUGUGAAAUGAAUUAUUUAGAAAAAUUGAACUUUUAGGUUGAGGCCCAUGCAAAUGCUCCUUUCUAAAUGAAACAUAAAGAC